ACGCUCGACACCUACGGGAGGCGGCAGUGGGGAAUAUUGCACAAUGGGGGAAACCCUGAUGCAGCGACGCCGCGUGAGCGAAGAAGUAUUUCGGUAUGUAAAGCUCUAUCAGCAGGGAAGAAACUGACGGUACCUGACUAAGAAGCACCGGCUAAAUACGUGCCAGCAGCUGCGGUAAUCUGAGCGGGCUGGCAAGGC
RNAcentral lists this ribosomal RNA (198 nucleotides) under uncultured bacterium. Its description in RNAcentral is "partial 16S ribosomal RNA". It matches the Rfam family "Bacterial small subunit ribosomal RNA", at positions 328 to 539 of the family's 1533-position model. The record is from RNAcentral.